This 433-nucleotide ribosomal RNA is filed under the name uncultured bacterium. Its description in RNAcentral is "partial 16S ribosomal RNA". It matches the Rfam family "Bacterial small subunit ribosomal RNA", at positions 29 to 507 of the family's 1533-position model. The record is from RNAcentral.
AACGAACGCUGGCGGCAUGCCUAACACAUGCCAGUCGAACGAGACCUUCGGGUCUAGUGGCGCACGGGUGCGUAACGCGUGGGAACCUGCCCUUAGGUUCGGAAUAACUCCCCGAAAGGGGUGCUAAUACCGGAUAAUGUCUUCGGACCAAAGAUUUAUCGCCUUUGGAUGGGCCCGCGUUGGAUUAGCUAGUUGGUAGGGUAAAAGCCUGCCAAGGCGACGAUCCAUAGCUGGUCUGAGAGGAUGAUCAGCCACACUGGGACUGAGACACGGCCCAGACUCCUACGGGAGGCAGCAGUGGGGAAUAUUGGACAAUGGGCGAAAGCCUGAUCCAGCAAUGCCGCGUGAGUGAUGAAGGCCUUAGGGUUGUAAAGCUCUUUUACCCGGGAUGAUAAUGACAGUACCGGGAGAAUAAGCGCCGGCUAACUCCGUG